Molecule: transfer RNA, 72 nt
Filed under: Lachnospiraceae bacterium C7
Lineage: Bacteria; Bacillati; Bacillota; Clostridia; Lachnospirales; Lachnospiraceae
Rfam family: tRNA
About the family: Transfer RNA (tRNA) molecules are approximately 80 nucleotides in length. Their secondary structure includes four short double-helical elements and three loops (D, anti-codon, and T loops).
Source: Rfam by way of RNAcentral
GCAGUCGUGGUAUAAUGGAUAGAAUUCAAGACUCCGACUCUUGCGAUGCGGGUUCGAUUCCCGCCGGCUGCA